This 430-nucleotide ribosomal RNA is filed under the name uncultured bacterium. Its description in RNAcentral is "partial 16S ribosomal RNA". It matches the Rfam family "Bacterial small subunit ribosomal RNA", at positions 354 to 796 of the family's 1533-position model. The record is from RNAcentral.
GUGGGGAAUAUUGCACAAUGGGCGGAAGCCUGAUGCAGCAACGCCGCGUGCGGGAUGACGGCCUUCGGGUUGUAAACCGCUUUCAGCAGGGACGAAGCGCAAGUGACGGUACCUGCAGAAGAAGCACCGGCUAACUACGUGCCAGCAGCCGCGGUGAUACGUAGGGUGCGAGCGUUGUCCGGAUUUAUUCGGCGUAAAGAGCUUGUAGGCGGUUGGUUGCGUCGAAAGUGCAAACUCAGGGCUUAACUCUGAGCCUGCUUUCGAUACGGGCUGAGUGGAGGAAGGUAUGGGAGAAUGGAAUUCCCGGUGGAGCGGUGGAAUGCGCAGAUAUCGGGAGGAAAACCAGUGGCGAAGGCGGUUCUCUGGACCUUUCCUGACGCUGAGAAGCGAAAGCGUGGGGAGCAAACAGGCUUAGAAACCCUGGUAGUCC